GCGAGAAAACUUUGCAAUGUGCGAAAGCACGACAAGGUUAAUCCGAGUGGUUUCUGCUAAAGAAACCUUUUGUCAGUCCUAGAAACACUAACGAAUAAGGGGUGGGCAAGUUCUGGUGUCAGCCGCCGCGGUAAAACCAGCACUUCAAGUGGUCAGGAUGAUUAUUGGGCCUAAAGCAUCCGUAGCUCGUUUUGUAAGUUUUCGGUUAAAUCCAUACACUUAACGUAUGGGCUGCCGGGAAUACUGCAUAACUAGGAAGUGGGAGAGGUAGACGGUACUCGGUAGGAAGGGGUAAAAUCCUUUGAUCUAUUGAUGACCACCUGUGGCGAAGGCGGUCUACCAGAACACGUUCGACGGUGAGGGAUGAAAGCUGGGGGAGCAAACCGGAUUAGAUACCCUCGUAGUCCCUGAGCGGGCUGGCAAGGCGCAU
Molecule: ribosomal RNA, 430 nt
Filed under: uncultured bacterium
Lineage: Bacteria
Description: bacterial SSU rRNA
Rfam family: Archaeal small subunit ribosomal RNA
Source: RNAcentral